RNAcentral lists this transfer RNA (86 nucleotides) under Candidatus Rokuibacteriota bacterium. Its description in RNAcentral is "Candidatus Rokubacteria bacterium tRNA-Leu". It matches the Rfam family "tRNA". Rfam says of the family: Transfer RNA (tRNA) molecules are approximately 80 nucleotides in length. Their secondary structure includes four short double-helical elements and three loops (D, anti-codon, and T loops). Lineage: Bacteria; Candidatus Rokuibacteriota. The record is from RNAcentral. RNAcentral also lists the same sequence under 1 other name.
GCCGGAGUGUCGGAACGGAAGACGAUGGCGUCUCAAAAGCGCCUGCCCGUAAGGGCGUGCGGGUUCGAAUCCCGCCUCCGGCACCA